CAGCCGCCGCGGGAAUACGUAGGGUGCAAGCGUUAAUCGGAAUUACUGGGCGUAAAGCGUGCGCAGGCGGUUAUAUAAGUCAGAUGUGAAAUCCCCGGGCUCAACCUGGGAACUGCAUUUGAGACUGUAUGGCUAGAGUGUGUCAGAGGGGGGUAGAAUUCCACGUGUAGCAGUGAAAUGCGUAGAUAUGUGGAGGAAUACCGAUGGCGAAGGCAGCCCCCCGGGAUAACACUGACGCUCAUGCACGAAAGCGUGGGGAGCAAACAGGAUUAGAUACCCCAGUAGUCCCUGUCUCUUAUAC
Molecule: ribosomal RNA, 301 nt
Filed under: uncultured bacterium
Lineage: Bacteria
Description: partial 16S ribosomal RNA
Rfam family: Bacterial small subunit ribosomal RNA
Source: RNAcentral